Molecule: non-coding RNA, 70 nt
Organism: Dipodomys ordii (Ord's kangaroo rat)
Lineage: Eukaryota; Metazoa; Chordata; Mammalia; Rodentia; Heteromyidae
Source: Rfam
GGGAAUGUGGCUUAGUGGUAAAGUGCUUGCCUAGCAUGCAUGAAGCCCUGGGUUUGACUCCUCAAUACCA